RNAcentral lists this long non-coding RNA (5203 nucleotides) under Setaria viridis. RNAcentral's name for it is "long non-coding RNA (SVIR_LNC002901)". The record is from RNAcentral. Lineage: Eukaryota; Viridiplantae; Streptophyta; Magnoliopsida; Poales; Poaceae.
UUCGAGGAGAAGCUUGAAGCCAUGAAGGAAGCCAAGGGGGUGAAGAACGACAAUGACCUGACUGCCUCUGACCUCAAAGAGCUGGUGGCUCAGUACAAGGAGGUCUACGUCGAAGCCAAGGGGGAGCCAUUUCCCUCAGGUAUGCCCACCGCAGCCUCACCCUCAGUUGAUAAUAUCUGUAUGAAAAAAAAAAUUCUCUUGAAACUAAAGCUGUUUCUUUGCAUCAAACUUAUGCAUGCCUUUACCUUGUUUUGUCUUGCAGAUCCCAAGAAGCAGCUUGAGCUAGCAGUGUUGGCUGUGUUCAACUCGUGGGACAGCCCCAGGGCCAACAAGUACAGGAGCAUUAACCAGAUCACUGGUCUGAAAGGCACUGCUGUGAACGUGCAGUCCAUGGUGUUUGGCAACAUGGGGGACACUUCUGGCACUGGCGUGCUCUUCACUAGGAAUCCUAGCACUGGAGAGAAGAAGCUGUAUGGCGAGUUCCUGGUGAAUGCUCAGGUAUGGACCAGUUUCUGUUGUGCCUAUUUGAUUCACAAUCUUAGCUGCCCUGUUUGAUCAAGUUAUUUUACACAAGUUAUAUUAAACAUGCAGUAGUAUCAACGAAUCUGUAUAAUGUAUGUGUGUUUCUGGUUCAGGGUGAGGAUGUGGUUGCUGGAAUCAGAACCCCGGAGGAUCUUGAUGCCAUGAAGGCACAGAUGCCGGAUGCUUAUGUAGAGCUCGUUGAGAACUGCAAGAUACUGGAGAGCCACUACAAAGAAAUGAUGGUACCUUAUUAUUGCAUUUUCAACCUUUACUGCACCAUUUAUUUUUGAGCUAUAUUUAAACAUGAUCUCUUUAAUAAUUUGCAACAUAAGCGCACUUGAAUACUGGUGUUGCUUCAAUGUGUUCUGUAGAUUGGCAUUGUGUCUCUGUUACUGCCAUUGGCCAUGAUCUCAGACUUGCUUGCUUUUUAUGCAUGAUGCAGGACAUUGAAUUUACCGUUCAGGAAAAUAGGCUCUGGAUGUUACAGUGCAGAUCAGGAAAACGUACAGGCCAAGGGGCGGUAAAGAUUGCUGUGGACAUGGUUAAUGAGGGUCUUGUUGAGCGCCGUCAAGCGAUUAAGAUGGUAGAGCCAGGCCACCUGGACCAGCUUCUCCAUCCUCAGGUAAUGGAUAACCAUGAGGCCCGUAAACUGAUUGUGCCUUACUUGAAAUUCAGUACUCUUAUAAGUUUGGCCUUACUUGGAAUUCACUUUAUAAGUUAAGUACUGGAUAUGUAUUAACAUCACUGUUUUAAUCUUGUCCAAUGAAAACCAGUUUGAGAACCCAUCAGCAUACAAGGAUCAAGUAAUCGCUACAGGCUUACCAGCUUCACCUGGGGCUGCUGUGGGCCAAAUUGUAUUUACUGCAGAGGACGCUGAAGCAUGGCAUGCCCAAGGGAAAGCUGCUAUCCUGGUAAACACCAUUUUAUCCUCAUUUUUAAGAAAAAAAGGUCUUCUGCAGUUUUUGUGUCAUUUUGAUCUGGACUUUGUGCUUCGAUGAAAAGAUCUGUUAAUUGAGCAAAACUGGUCUAUUUACUGGACCUGUUAGAAUAGUUGCUUGCAGAGUUACAGUCACAAAAAUCCCACUUAUCACAGACAGCCAUUUUUGAAAUGCAUAUGGAAGCUCCAAGUCGUAUCGCUUCAUCUUUUGCAUUCUGAGAAUUUUUUCUUUGCAAAUAUAUAGGUGAGGACAGAGACCAGCCCAGAGGAUGUUGGUGGCAUGCACGCAGCUGUUGGAAUUCUUACAGCAAGAGGUGGGAUGACCUCUCAUGCUGCUGUGGUAGCACGUGGUUGGGGAAAAUGUUGUGUCUCAGGAUGCUCAAGCGUUCUCGUAAAUGAUGCUGAGAAGGUGAAUAGAAUUCUUGUUUGCACAUCUUCUUCUUUGUAGAAGGUGACAUGCCAUGUUAAAGUUUGUAACAGGAUUAUGACAUUCUUUGUAGAUGUGCUCCGUCCGCCAUUUUUAAGUUCUUAUUAACGAGAUUUUGAGGAUGUAGAUGUUUCCUUACUUUGCUAUGUCUACAUUUACAGUCUGUAGUGAUUGGAGACAAGGUGAUGCAUGAAGGUGAGUGGCUAUCACUGAAUGGAUCUACUGGUGAAGUCAUCGUGGGGAAGCAGCCACUUUCCCCACCAGUCCUCAGUGGUGAUCUGGGAACCUUCAUGUCCUGGGUAGAUGAAGUUAGGCAACUGAAGGUAAAUUCCUAGAAAUAACAAAUAUGUAAUAUUAGUUAAAACAUGGAUACAAACUGUUGGAAGUAGAAACCAACAAAAAGGGCAUCAGAUUAUUUAUUCAGACAGGCCAAAGCUAGUCAACCCCACUACACAUUUUUCAACAGAAAUGCUUAUUCGUACAUAUGAUCCACCUUCCAGGUUUUGGCUAAUGCGGAUACCCCUGAGGAUGCACUGACAGCAAGAAACAAUGGGGCAGAAGGAAUUGGACUAUGCCGGACGGAGCACAUGGUAUGUAUUUUAGUUACUGUCCAAUAUCUUUUGGGUGGGAUCUUGGAAAACUUACUCUUUCUUGAAUUCCUUCGUCGAACAGUUGGGUAAACUUUAAGGACCUCCCGUUCUAGUCUCAUGUUCUCCUUUUCUGCACUUUGGCAGUUCUUUGCUUCGGAUGAGAGGAUUAAGGCUGUGAGGCAGAUGAUUAUGGCUCCCACACUUGAACUGAGGCAGAAGGCACUAGAUCGUCUUUUGCCUUAUCAGAGGUCUGACUUUGAAGGCAUUUUCCGUGCUAUGGAUGGUAUGUGAAAAUCACGAUGCAUUCAUUUACAUGCUCUCCAAUUGAACUGGAUGCACUAGUGUUACUGAACAUAACAAGAGUAAGCAACCUUCUUAAAUAGACAACAUUGACUACUAAUGUAAAGUGAAAAGGUAGACAAGUUUUAAACCUUAGGAUGCAAAAUACUUCAAAAAUAAGAACGAAAUUGGGCCAGUAACAUAUUGCAUCAAUUAUUUAACUUGGUAACAUAAAGUUCUGCUAUGAUUUAUCCAUUAGUUUUUUUUAAUCUUUUAUAGCGAGUGGUAUAUGUACAUGUUUCAUGGAAACAGAUAUAGAAUUAAACUACUAGAAUAAAUUUUAACAUGUAUUGUAGUUAGUUCCACAGUAUGUAUUUUAAAGUGCGGAAUGGAUUUGAACAUUAUUUUUUUUGCAUUUCAGGGCUUUCAGUGACUAUUCGGCUUCUGGACCCCCCACUUCAUGAGUUUCUUCCUGACGGGAAUGUUGAAGACAUUGUGCGUGAAUUAUGUUCUGAAACUGGAGCCAAUCAGGAGGAAGCCCUUGCAAGAAUUGAAAGUCUUUCAGAAGUAAAUCCAAUGCUUGGUUUCCGUGGGUGCAGGUUGGUUUUUGUGCUCCGUUUAAAUCAGUCACCCCCCCUCCUUGAUCCAUUUGGUUCCCUUGUUAGUGAAAUAUUAAAAAGAAUAAACUCUGUAUAUUUACCUCGACUAAUAUUGGAACUGCUAAAAUUCCAGGCUCGGUAUAUCAUAUCCUGAGCUAACAGAAAUGCAAGCCCGUGCCAUCUUUGAAGCUGCUAUAGCGAUGACCAACCAGGGUGUUCAAGUUUUCCCAGAGAUAAUGGUUCCUCUUGUUGGGACACCUCAGGCAUGCAUCUUUAUUUCCUUAUUUGUGCAUAUGGUAUCUCUGCAGUUCAUGGUGUUCAAAAUGACAAAAUCAAAAUUGAAUAAACAACCAAGUUCUGUACACAUGUAAUUUACGAUUUUAUGCAAACAUCAAGUUGACCUACACCCAAUUUCCCACCAAAUUCAUUUCUUGAAAUUUUCUCUCUCGAAUUCUAAGUUUAUUGCUUUCACUUGAUUUUUCCUUCAGACAUCUGACAUUUGACUUUUGCAGGAACUGGGGAAUCAAGUGGCCCUUAUCCGUGAAACUGCUAACAAAGUUUUCGCUGCUCUGGGUAAAACCAUUGACUACAAAAUUGGAACUAUGAUUGAAAUUCCGAGGGCAGCUCUAGUAGCUGAUGAGGUAGGAAGCAUCUAACUCCCUUCAGAAUAAUCUUAAAUAUUGCUGUUUAGGUUUAGCUUUUAGAUCAUAUUUUUCAUGAAUGGUUUAGUAAUAGAACCCCGGAUUUUUACUCUAAAACAUGUGAAUAGUAACUGAUGGUAUGAAUUUAUUAAGUGCAAAUAAUAAGUUUAUCCUCUAAUUUAAAAAAAAAACUGACAUUCUUGUUUUGGUUUCACAACCUGACAGAUAGCAGAGCAGGCUGAAUUCUUCUCUUUUGGAACGAACGACCUCACACAGAUGACAUUUGGCUACAGCAGGGAUGAUGUGGGGAAGUUUCUUCCCAUUUAUCUGUCUCAGGGUAUCCUCCAACAUGAUCCCUUUGAGGUAAAAUUUUAGCAGCUCUCACCCUUCAGUUUUAGAUGAUAUACCUGCAUUUUCAUCAUCCACUCUUGUUUUUCAAGGAAUAUUUCCAUCAUCCACAGAUGCGAGCAUCUCAUGUCCUCUAGGCAUUUUUCAUGUCCUUGACUUUUGGUUACGUGCAUGCUCUGGUAAAAUUCAACCUAGUAACUUGCCCAUUGAAUGUUGAUAAACAUAUCAGGUGCUGGAUCAGAGGGGAGUGGGCGAGCUGGUUAAGUUUGCUACAGAGAGGGGUCGCAAAGCUAGGCCUAACUUGAAGGUUAGUUUUUGGGACUUGUGGACAUUGGCUCUUUUCCUUAGAAAUCAUGGUUUCAUUGUUUGGUGCUGUCUGCAAACAGGUGGGCAUCUGUGGAGAACACGGUGGGGAGCCUUCGUCAGUUGCAUUCUUUGCAAAGUCGGGGCUGGAUUAUGUUUCUUGCUCGCCUUUCAGGUUGGUCAAGUGAUAAACUCAAGAUACAACUCCCAGAUUCAUAACUGUAGCAAAACCUUAACUACUUUUUAUGAAAUAUCUUGUGCAGGGUUCCCAUCGCCAGGCUAGCUGCAGCUCAGGUGCUCGUCUGAGGGCACCGCCUCAUCGGCAACCGGAUCACCUGCUGUUGGUGCGUCUGGUGAAGAAUACUAAUACAAAGCCAUGGAACGGUGGAACUCUGCUGCCUGGCAAAGGCCGUUGUAUCUUGUAUGAAGUCUCCGUGCGCGUGCGCAUGUAAGACUUAAUGUGUGGUUUUCUGCAUUUUCCCUUGAACUACCAUGGUAAUGUAGUACCAAACAGAGAUGAUGACGAAGAACAAUCGAAUAAAUUAAUUGGCGAUUAC